CUACGGGGUGCAGCAGUGAGGAAUAUUGGUCAAUGGGCGAAGGCCUGAACCAGCCAUGCCGCGUGAAGGAUGACGGCCCUAUGGGUUGUAAACUUCUUUUAUACGGGAAGAAACACCUCUACGUGUAGAGGUUUGACGGUACCGUACGAAUAAGCAUCGGCUAACUCCGUGCCAGCAGCCGCGGUAAUACGGAGGAUGCAAGCGUUAUCCGGAUUUAUUGGGUUCAAAGGGUACGUAGGCGGAAACUUAAGUCAGUAGUGAAAUCCCGCAGCUUAACUGUGGAACUGUUAUUGAUACUGGGUUUCUUGAAUAUUGUUGAGGUAGGCGGAAUAAGUAAUGGAGCGGUGAAAUGCUUAGAUAUUACUUAGAACACCGAUUGCGAAGGCAGCUUACUAAGCAAUUAUUGACGCUGAGGUACGAAAGCGUGGGGAGCGAACAGGAUUAGAUACCCCCGUAGUC
RNAcentral lists this ribosomal RNA (459 nucleotides) under uncultured bacterium. Its description in RNAcentral is "partial 16S ribosomal RNA". It matches the Rfam family "Bacterial small subunit ribosomal RNA", at positions 339 to 795 of the family's 1533-position model. The record is from RNAcentral.